RNAcentral lists this ribosomal RNA (288 nucleotides) under uncultured bacterium. RNAcentral describes it as "partial 16S ribosomal RNA". It matches the Rfam family "Bacterial small subunit ribosomal RNA", at positions 773 to 1060 of the family's 1533-position model. The record is from RNAcentral.
GUGGAUUAGAUACCCUAGUAGUCCACGCCGUAAACGAUGGGUACUAGGUGUGGGAGGUGUCGACUCCUCCCGUGCCGUCGCUAACGCACUAAGUACCCCGCCUGGGGAGUACGGCCGCAAGGCUAAAACUCAAAGGAAUUGACGGGGGCCCGCACAAGCAGCGGAGCAUGUGGUUUAAUUCGACGCAACGCGAAGAACCUUACCUGGGCUUGACAUGUCAGUGACCGCCGUGGAAACACGGUUUUCCUUCGGGACACUGUCACAGGUGGUGCACGGUUGUCGCCAGCU